RNAcentral lists this unclassified non-coding RNA (803 nucleotides) under Hevea brasiliensis (rubber tree). Lineage: Eukaryota; Viridiplantae; Streptophyta; Magnoliopsida; Malpighiales; Euphorbiaceae. The record is from RNAcentral.
GAACAAUAUUGCAAAGUGCCGCAUAGUUGAAUAUUGAUUACAAUAAACAGCAUCUAGGGCACAAAUGACCUUUGUGAUAAAAUCUGGAAAAAUUAUUGAUACUAAAAAAACCUUGCAGAAAAGAAGUUUUAAAAGAUAAAUUCAACAAAAGCUAUCACACUGAGUCCUCUCUACUAAGAUAAAUAUUGUCACAUGACAGCUAAUAGCAAAGAUAAAACUGACUUAGAAGGCAUCGUUAUCUCUAGCUUGACCACCAUAGCCCCCACCAUAUCCACCGCCGCCACCACCACCACCAUAUCCACCCCCAUAUCCACCACUUCUAGGGGCACGCUCUUGGGCUAAAUUAACACGGAUAUUCCUUCCAUGCAGUUGCUGACCGUCCAUUGCGUUCAUAGCUUCUUUUGCACAAUCUUCAUCUGAGAAGUUCACAAAUCCAAAUCCCCUUGAUCUGCCAGAAUCUCUGUCAAUGAUUACCUUUGCAUCAACAACAUCACCAAAGCUAGUAAAGGCCUCUUUCAGUGACUGAUCAUCUGUUCCCCAUGAAAGACCACCAACAAAAAGUUUUGAUGACAUGCACCGGAUGGCAUUAAGCAUCGCUGGAGUUGGUGAAUUUGCACUUACUGCAUUUCCCGUGGAAAUGCUCUGCCUCAACAGACCACCGAGUUUGUUGCAGAAAGCCAUUUGUGCAGACAAAUUCACAAAUCUGAGCGAGAGAGGAAGUUUCAGGGUUUAAGGAGAGAGAAAGAGAAACGAAAUGAGGAGCGGCUAGGGUUUAAGCCACUUCUCUGAUAUGGAGAAGGGAG